Molecule: long non-coding RNA, 540 nt
Filed under: Calidris pygmaea (Spoon-billed sandpiper)
Lineage: Eukaryota; Metazoa; Chordata; Aves; Charadriiformes; Scolopacidae
Description: lncRNA (ENSCPGG00000015848.1)
Source: RNAcentral
UUUUCAGAAUAGAGUACUAUCGGUGGCUGCGUUUAAGCAACAGACCAUUAUGUCAUCUUGCUUCAUAUAUUUUACUCUGAUCUUUUUUAGGAUGAAGCUCAUUUGAGAAAUCUUUCCUCUGCCUUUGGGGAGAAAUAAUUUGCCUCCUUCCACAAGACUGUUGAUGAGAACAGAAGAAGGAACAGAUGGUGGCACCAUCCUUUCUCAGCACCAAACACUGCCCUGGAGUUGUACAUGGUGCAAAAAAGCAUCCCCGUGUGGAGAAGCAGAUAGCGCUCCUGCAAAGUAUCAGCAUGGUGGAUUUUAUGGUGGAUUUCUACAGCUGAGGGACAACUGCCUGUGAGUUUCCAGGUCAUGUAACCUUGCUCACUGUUGUGGAAAGCCUGAGGAGCUCCACGAGGGGUUUAAAAGAGAGAUCUUCCUCUCCUGUUCAGGUGAGUAGUCAUGAAUUAGACCUUGGGGAGACUAAGGCACUAGAAAUACAUAAGGAAAUCUUUUGAUUACACAUAGCGUUAAAACAUGCUAAAAAUACCUCUGCUA